AUACGGUAAAAAGUGUGGCA
This 20-nucleotide non-coding RNA is filed under the name Arabidopsis thaliana (thale cress). The record is from RNAcentral. Lineage: Eukaryota; Viridiplantae; Streptophyta; Magnoliopsida; Brassicales; Brassicaceae.